CACGUAGGAGGCGAGCGUUGUCCGGAUUCAUUGGGCGUAAAGAGCGCGCAGGCGGCUUGGUAAGUCGGAUGUGAAAACCCGGAGCUCAACUCCGGGCGUGCAUCCGAUACUGCCCGGCUAGAGGUAGGUAGGGGAGAUCGGAAUUCCUGGUGUAGCGGUGGAAUGCGCAGAUAUCAGGAGGAACACCGGUGGCGAAGGCGGAUCUCUGGGCCUUACCUGACGCUCAGGCGCGAAAGCUAGGGGAGCGAACAGG
RNAcentral lists this ribosomal RNA (253 nucleotides) under uncultured bacterium. RNAcentral describes it as "partial 16S ribosomal RNA". It matches the Rfam family "Bacterial small subunit ribosomal RNA", at positions 524 to 776 of the family's 1533-position model. The record is from RNAcentral.